UUUGGACCAGGAAGUGACAUUACAUUUCUGCCAAUUCAUGGCUCAAUGGUCGAAGGGUGUCGCUGGAGCCUAUCUUAGGUGCAUUCGGGCGGAAGGCGGAGUACACCCUGGACAAGUCGCCACCUCAUCACAAGGCUAACACAGAUAGACCGACAACACAGGAGGCUGUCCUCGUCCCGUCCAGUCGGCAACAAAAAGUGCCACAAAACUUUCCCACCGACACCGCCGCCUUGCCGUACAAGAAGAGAAGCCAGAGACCGUACGGGAUUACAAAUUUGCCCGACAGUAAAG
Molecule: long non-coding RNA, 291 nt
Organism: Nerophis ophidion (straightnose pipefish)
Lineage: Eukaryota; Metazoa; Chordata; Actinopteri; Syngnathiformes; Syngnathidae
Exons: 3
Source: RefSeq, a predicted model, not a curated record